CACGUUACAAAAGCUUAAGCAAAGCGUGCAUGAUAUCAGAACAUAUAAACGAAAACAAACCUAAUGAAGCUACCAACGUACCAACAAUAUUAUCUUGAGCUUCUUCCAACAUCCUACAGUACACACUGAGGUUUAGUGCCCCGCCACUGGCCAUCCCUCCGAGAACAAAGCUCAUGCUCUUCCCACCAAAAUUGGAAUUCAAAUUUUCAACCAUUGCCAACUCACUAAGAUCGACAUGAAACGUGCCA
This 248-nucleotide long non-coding RNA is filed under the name Elaeis guineensis (African oil palm). Its description in RNAcentral is "long non-coding RNA (EGUI_LNC025334)". The record is from RNAcentral. Lineage: Eukaryota; Viridiplantae; Streptophyta; Magnoliopsida; Arecales; Arecaceae.